This 253-nucleotide ribosomal RNA is filed under the name uncultured prokaryote. RNAcentral's name for it is "partial 16S ribosomal RNA". It matches the Rfam family "Bacterial small subunit ribosomal RNA", at positions 523 to 775 of the family's 1533-position model. The record is from RNAcentral.
AUACGAAGGGGGCUAGCGUUGCUCGGAAUCACUGGGCGUAAAGGGCGCGUAGGCGGCCGAUCAAGUCAGGGGUGAAAGCCUGUGGCUCAACCACAGAAUGGCCUUUGAUACUGUUCGGCUCGAGACCGGAAGAGGUUGGUGGAACUGCGAGUGUAGAGGUGAAAUUCGUAGAUAUUCGCAAGAACACCAGUGGCGAAGGCGGCCAACUGGUCCGGUUCUGACGCUGAGGCGCGAAAGCGUGGGGAGCAAACAG